Molecule: long non-coding RNA, 1807 nt
Filed under: Piliocolobus tephrosceles (Ugandan red Colobus)
Lineage: Eukaryota; Metazoa; Chordata; Mammalia; Primates; Cercopithecidae
Description: lncRNA (ENSPTEG00000009276.1)
Source: RNAcentral
UAAAAUAGAAGAAAAUAAUUUAGAAAUAAUAGCAAACUUAGAUAACUUUAAAAUGAAUUGUACCUAUUCAUUAAAAUCAAUAUACAAACAUUAUUAUCAAAAAAAAGUUUUUCAAUGUCUUACUUGUGGAUUAAGAUUUUAUACUAGUUUAGAAAAAUUAAAUCAUUUAGAAUAUCAUUUCAAAACAAAUAAAAAUUAUAUAAGUGAGUCAGGAAAAAAAAAUAAAUUUAAAAAUAAAAUGAAAUAUAUCUAUCUUGAUCAUAUUAAUCUUCCGAUUGAAUUUUUUAUAUGUAAAAAUUAUUCUUAUUUUGAAGAUUUAUAUGAUAAUGUUAUUACUAAAAAUAGUAAUUCUUUUAAUUUUCUGAACACUGAAUUUGACGAUAGUAAUAACACAUAUAUGGGAAAUAAAAAUAGUCAAAAUUAUUUGUAUGACAUGGGAGAAAUAUAUAUGCAAGGGAUUACACAGGAUAACAUAAAAUCUACAAAUACUGACAACGACUUGGGAAAAGUAAUAAAUCAAAAAAGAAGUAGUAGUAUAUAUGAAAAGGAACAAGGACAAUUGGAAGUUGUUAAUAACACAUAUAGUAGUACUACUCCUGAAAAAAAUAAUAUUGAUGAUAGUAUUGUUUAUCACUUAUUUAAGAAAAGGGAGUAUAAUGAACAAAACGAGUUAAUUUUUAAUCUAGUUAACAAUAUGAAUAAUUUAUUUAAUCUUAAUAAAAAGUGUAACAAUAUAGAUACAUUUUUUCAUACAAAAGAUAAGGACAUUAAACAAGAUAAUAAAGUUAAAAGUAAAUUCGAUAAUAAGGAUAUAAUUACUAGUAAUAGUAGUAGUGAUGAAUCACAAGAUAAUAGUAAUACUUAUUAUAAUAAUAGUUAUAAAACAAAAGAAUCUAGUAUAAAUAAUAAUAGUAAUAAUAAUAAUAAUAAUGACAAAACUAUCGAUUUUUUAGAUUUUAUUUAUGACCAUGAUAAUACAUAUAAUGUUUAUCUUUCCAAUUAUUAUACCGAAACGGUUGAUAAAAAUGUACUCAUAAAUUAUAUUGAAGGAGAAACAAUGUAUAAAAAUAUAAUGAAAUGUUUAGAAAUUAAUUCUAUUGAUCAAUUUAAAUUACCUUCAUGGAUACCUAAAAGAAGUAUACAAACCUUUUUUUUUAAUCCUACAAAUGAAUUAUUUAACUUUAAUACUCAUCAUCGUAACGAAUACAAUAAUAAUUAUAACAGUAACAAUAAGGUCAUAGAUAUGGAUAUAAUGGAAAACUAUAAUGACAUAAGUUCCGAUAGAAUGGGACUUAAUAACGAUGUUACUAACAUUAUCAACACUAGUACCAUUACAAAUACUAUUAGGGAUAAAACUCACAUAAGUAACAUAUUAUCAAAUAAAACUGGAAAUAAUGAAUAUAAACUUGAUGCACGUGACAAUAUAUGGAAUGUAUGCACAAAAAACGAUUUUUAUAUUAAUGCCAGUUUGUCACCUCUAAAUAUGUUUUCUUUAUCAAGUCAAAAAAACAAUAAAUUUCAAAAAAACGAAACAAACUUUUUUAUUAAUCAGGAACAUAUUAAAACUGAAGUUGUUGAAGAAAAUGCUUCUACUACUUUUAAUUAUAAUAAACAAAUAUAUGAUACAAACAGUACUGAUAAUAAAAACUGUACUGAUAAUAAAAACUGUACUGAUAAUAAAAACUGUAUCGAUGAUAAAAACUGUAUUGAUGAUAAAAACUGUACCGAUGAUAAAAACUAUACCGAUGAUAAAAACUAUACCGAUGAUAAAAACUGUACCGAUGAUAAAAACUGUACCGAUGAUAAA